Molecule: transfer RNA, 73 nt
Filed under: Candidatus Lachnoclostridium avicola
Lineage: Bacteria; Bacillati; Bacillota; Clostridia; Lachnospirales; Lachnospiraceae
Description: tRNA-Val
Rfam family: tRNA
About the family: Transfer RNA (tRNA) molecules are approximately 80 nucleotides in length. Their secondary structure includes four short double-helical elements and three loops (D, anti-codon, and T loops). Further hydrogen bonds mediate the characteristic L-shaped molecular structure. tRNAs have two regions of fundamental functional importance: the anti-codon, which is responsible for specific mRNA codon recognition, and the 3' end, to which the tRNAs corresponding amino acid is attached (by aminoacyl-tRNA synthetases). tRNAs cope with the degeneracy of the genetic code in two manners: having more than one tRNA (with a specific anti-codon) for a particular amino acid; and 'wobble' base-pairing, i.e. permitting non-standard base-pairing at the 3rd anti-codon position.
Source: RNAcentral
GGGGUCUUAGCUCAGCUGGGAGAGCAUCUGCCUUACAAGCAGAGGGCCACAGGUUCGAGCCCUGUAGGCCCCA